UACGUAGGGUGCGAGCGUUAAUCGGAAUUACUGGGCGUAAAGCGUGCGCAGGCGGCGCGUUUAAGACAGGUGUGAAAAGCCCCGAGCUUAACUUGGGAAUUGCGCUUGUGACUGGCGUGCUGGAGUGUGGCAGAGGGAGGUGGAAUUCCACGUGUAGCAGUGAAAUGCGUAGAGAUGUGGAGGAACACCGAUGGCGAAGGCAGCCUCCUGGGCCAGCACUGACGCUCAUGCACGAAAGCGUGGGGAGCAAACAGG
This 255-nucleotide ribosomal RNA is filed under the name uncultured bacterium. Its description in RNAcentral is "partial 16S ribosomal RNA". It matches the Rfam family "Bacterial small subunit ribosomal RNA", at positions 524 to 776 of the family's 1533-position model. The record is from RNAcentral.